AGACAAUUGACCCUUAUAUCUUUAUGUAAUGUCCUUCUCUGUCCUUGGUAAUUUGCUUUGCUCUGUACUUUGUCUAAUAUUAAGAUAGGCAUACCAGUGUUCUUUUAAUGUUUGCAUUUCAUCUUUUUCAUCCUUUUAUUUUCAACUUAAAUAAUUACAUUUGAAGUUACUUUAUUGUAUUAUAUUAUCAUAUUAUACAUUUAUAUAUUAUCUAUAAAGAUAUUUUAUAAUAUAUAAUUAUUAUAAUUAGAUGCAUUAUAUAAUCUCUUAUUAUUAUAUAAUAUAUAUUUAUCAAAGUCAACUGGUAUUGAUAGUUUGAGUGAAUUGUAGAAGCUUCAUCUCCUUUACACCCCUUUACCCUUCCCUAAUUAUAAUAUAAUCAUGCUAAAUAUUUUCUCUAUAUUCAUUGAGAACCACGCAAAAGAGCAUUUUAAUUUUUCUUCAACCAUCAAACAAAACUCAAGAGGAGAAGGAAACGUAUUGUGUUUAUCCAUAUUUUUAUCUAUGUGUUCUUUCUGACUUCUUGGUCUUCCAAGAGUCCUUCUUUUUCCAUUUUCUAUUUGUUUCAAGAACUUCCAUUAGCCAUUCUUUUAGGUUAGGUCUGCCAGUAACAAAUUCUCUUAGUUUCCCUUCAUCUGUGAAUGUCUUUAAUUCCCCUUCAAUAAUGUGUCAUUCUGUCUGACUGCUUUCAAGAUCAAAUCUGUCUUUGGUUUUCAGAAGACUGACUAUGAUAUGUCUUUGCAUGAAUUUCUUUGGGCUUGAUCCAUUUGAGUUUUUUUUUUUUUUUUUUUUUUUUUUUUUGAUCCAUUUGCGUUUUGAUGAGUUUUUUCAACCCGUAUAUUUAUGGUUUUUGCCAAAUGCUGGAAAGUUUUAGUCAUUUUUAAAAAAAUACUUUUCAGCCCUCCCUCCAACUCCGCUUCUGAGACUCAGAUGACACAAAUGUUAGAUCUCUUUUCGUCCCACAGGUCCUUAAGGUUCUAUUUAUUUUUUCCAGGCUAUUUUCUCUUUGUUGUUGAGAUUGCAUAGCUUUUAUUGUUCAAGUUCACCAAUUCUUCCCUCUGUCUCCCCCAUUUUGCUGUUGAGCCUAUCCAUUGAGUUUUCUUUCUUUUGGUUGUAUUUUUUGGUUCUAAAUUUUUCAUUUAGUUCUUCUUUAUAUCUUUAUUGCUUUUUUUAGUCUUCCUAUUGCUUUCCUGAAACUUCAUGUUUUUCAUUUUUUAAGAGUAAAAAUUUGUAAAUUUAAAAUUUAAAUUUAAAACUCUUGUCAGGGGAUCCCUGGGUGGCGCAGCGGUUUGGCGCCUGGGAUCGAAUCCCACAUCGGGCUCCCGGUGCAUGGAGCCUGCUUCUCCCUCUGCCUGUGUCUCUGCCUCUCUCUCUUUCCCUCUCUGUGACUAUCAUAAAUAAAUAAAAAUUAAAAAAAAAAAAAAAAAAAAAAAAACUCUUGUCAGGGAUCCCUGGGUGGCGCAGCGGUUUAGCGCCUGCCUUUGGCCCAGGGCGCGAUCCUGGAGACCCGGGAUCGAAUCCCACGUCAGGCUCCCGGUGCAUGGAGCCUGCUUCUCCCUCUGCCUAUGUCUCUGCCUCUCUCUCUCUCUCUCUCUCUCUCUCUCUCUCUCUAUGUGACUAUCAUAAAUA
This 1629-nucleotide long non-coding RNA is filed under the name Canis lupus familiaris (dog). Its description in RNAcentral is "lncRNA (ENSCAFG00845020465.1)". Lineage: Eukaryota; Metazoa; Chordata; Mammalia; Carnivora; Canidae. The record is from RNAcentral.